Molecule: ribosomal RNA, 253 nt
Filed under: uncultured bacterium
Lineage: Bacteria
Description: partial 16S ribosomal RNA
Rfam family: Bacterial small subunit ribosomal RNA
Source: RNAcentral
UACGUAGGGUGCAAGCGUUGUCCGGAAUUAUUGGGCGUAAAGAGCUCGUAGGCGGUUUGUCGCGUCGGCUGUGAAAUCCCGAGGCUCAACCUCGGGCCUGCAGUCGAUACGGGCAAACUAGAGUGUGGUAGAGGAGACUGGAAUUCCUGGUGUAGCGGUGAAAUGCGCAGAUAUCAGGAAGAACACCCGUGGCGAAGGCGGCUCUCUGGAACGGUACUGACGCUGAGACGCGAAAGCGUGGGGAGCGAACAGG